This is a non-coding RNA of Phoenix dactylifera (date palm), 2960 nucleotides long. The record is from RefSeq and is a predicted model, not a curated record. Lineage: Eukaryota; Viridiplantae; Streptophyta; Magnoliopsida; Arecales; Arecaceae.
UCUUAAGGUCACAAGACAUUGCCAGGUUCACAAUGUCACAUGGCCUUUAUCAAAGAGCAGUGUUUGCUGAGCGCAGGAAUCUUGCACAAAAUUAUAAAGCUGACUCGUAAAUCUUCCUUGGGGUUGCGAAGCAAAUCUCACGGCAUGCCCUGAUUUUCCCUUUUCAUUCUGGCAGUUCUAUCACAUCAUAGCUUUGCCGGAGUUUUCCAGCAACCGACUACGGUUUUUCUUCACAAGUCUCACGAGCACUUCAAGAGGCAGUAAUCAGUUUGCUGUUUAAAAGGCAUUAAAUAAUUAAGAUUAUACUAGGAAUGCCAUAAAAGAUUUGUAGCAGGAGGAAAAAUAGAUGCUUCGUCAGCAAGAAAUUGUGGAUGUUCAAGGCAAAAUAUCAUGUGACGCAGCGAUUGGAUGAUCAAUGCACAUUUUCACCCCCAUUAGGCGACCGUUACAGCAUGAGCUCAAUUACCGUUCCAAAUUGAAUGAAAAAAAGACCUCGAAAUUUUUUUAUUCUUGGAGAAUUGAUAUCCCCGGAUCUCGAUCACGAUAAUUUCUGGUACGGUUGACAGUACAAGUCAUUUUGUAUAUCCGUGGAAAAUACUCAACAUGGAUACAGAAAACACGACACGAAUCUUACAGAUUAAAAAUCAUCUCCAGUGCAUUUUUUUUCCUUACAUAAAUCUCAUGGUAUCAUGACCAUGUAAUGCUUCAGCUACUACGGUUUGAGAAAAGAGAAUUAUAAUCAUCCGCGCCAAGAUUUAUACCAACCAAGAAUUGAAUCUAAAACUUUAAUCCCACGCCCCCUCCCCCCGUGGGGUCAAACAUAAUUGGAAGCAGCAAAUUAGUCUUGAGAUGUUCCGCUCUGUUUGGAUGCCGGAAGAGCUUAUCAGCUGAUAAAGAUCUCCCGGGCACUGUUCUUGGCUCUAAAAUUAUUAUAGAAAACAAACAACCAAUAAGGAUUGGUUUAAUCAGUUCAAUAACUUAAAAUAAAGAACAACUUACACCACCAUCGGAAAUUUUUUUUUUUUUUUCCGGUUGAUCACCAUCGGAUUUUUCGAACUCCCUCACGAGAAGGAAGUUCUUAAAGGGCGGAAAAGAACACCCGGAAUCCAAACAGGGCCUUAAAUGAAAACAGUUCCAAGGCACCGAUGCCCAGGUUCAGAAUCCAUAAUAGCUCACGAUCGUCGAACUCUCCAGCCAUAUCUCUCGUAUAUUUUACCCACAUUUUGAUAUGAUAUUUCUUUGGUUUUUCAUUUGAAUGAAUACCGCGGCCAGAGAUCGACAGGAAGCUGUCUUGGGGUUAUCUUGUUCUGAUCUGUGGUUUUUCUCCACCCAAGGAUCAAAUAGAGCUGCCAGCUACUGGUCAAUCGCUGACUUCAACAAUUACUGUAACACACUAAAAACUCCUGCUUACUGGGGCACGCCAAGUUCACAAAUUAUAUCCUGAUAUAUAAUCCAUGGUUAAGCAGGUCCAGGUCUGAGAGAUCAGAAUCAAUAUUCCAUUUCUACUUAAUCAAAGGAGCACUAAUGGAUGGACACUCUCCACACAAGAGGCUGAAGUCUAGCUAUUGCAUAAAUAUAUUAUAUCAUAUCGCCUUAAAUAAGUCGUAUAAAACACAUGUAGAACAGGAUCUACUAACUUUACAGUGUCAAACUACCUACGCUACGAGCCCUGACCUGUACAUUCUGAAGGCAGUUGAAAGCUGCUCCCGAGAAAAUUUGGCAGGGGAGAAUAUCCAGGAUUUAGUUACUCUUCCUGUAUGAGCAUAACCCGAGAGCAUUUAUGUGAGUGGAGCUCCACCUGAUACCAUGUACUGACGGAUGUUGGUGUGUGCUGUUGCUGAAAUUUCAUGAUAGAGACGCACCUGCUUCUGCAUGGGAGCAAGAAUGAGCAAUAGGAUUAGUAAAAAGCUACGAUACUUACAACCAGCGAACCUCAUCUUAUCAAAUAACUUGGUUAUUGCCCCCUAAAGAGAGAGGUGCUGAGAAAAAUAACGGACUUCCCUUGAUUAUGGAAGUGGACUUCCCUUGAUUAUGGAAGUACAAAAUCCCGCAUUUACUUCAAAAAAAUGACAACAAUUAAAGACAAAAGCCCAGAAUUUUUCAGAUUCUAUUCAUAUAUCUGCAAUACAGAUCAUGAAAUUAUUGACUAUUUUGUUAUGGUCCGUAGGCAGUUGCGAUGAUGGUCUGCAAGCCUACACGUUGCUUCAAGUAUAACUCGUUCAGUUAAAUUCGGUUAACUGCAAGAUAAGGGAUUUUAUAAUUUUGAAUGACGGUAUUGCAUCUUGAAUAACUACUGUUACUCAAUUUUUUUCAGAAUUCAAUAACUUGCAAUGGAAAAGUUUAAUCUGUAGAUGAACAUUUAGCUCUGCAAAUGAACAUUAGAUUGGAUAUUGAUUUUUCAUAUAUUUAAUAUAUAUAUAUAUAUUUGUGUUCUUUUGGGCUAUAUAUUUGACACUCAAUCACCUCUUCUCAUAGUCGAGGAAACCCAAAAUCAACUGCUUUAUCAGCAAUCAAGAGACAACUUUCCUUUUAUAAAUGAAAAGUUUCCUGUCAUUCUCAAGACAACUAGCUACGGCCUGUACCAUAUCAAUAUAUCAUCAGUCAACCAUACUUUCUUUGCUUUAGUCAUAACAAAGAUAUCGGUUGCUUUAUCUUUUGGAUGGUGACUAUAAAUAAUAGAACCCAUAUAUAAUAAAGCAUGGACUCUGAUUUAUGGCACUGCUGGUUAGACCUGCAGAAGUAUGACAGUAUAUAAACUAAUGUGAACAAUCAAUAAGUUUACCCUGAUGUUCAAAUUAACAUUAUGGUAGGAAGCAGUUAGACAGUAGUAAAAAGAGGAAGCUGUGGAGCAGAUUAGAGUUUGAAUAUUGAGGUUUUGCUAAUUAGUGAAACAAUUCUUUUUUUCACGGUAAAUUUCAUAGUCUAAAAUAUCAAACUAACUUUAGCAUGAAGAAAAAAGU